Molecule: unclassified non-coding RNA, 237 nt
Filed under: Hevea brasiliensis (rubber tree)
Lineage: Eukaryota; Viridiplantae; Streptophyta; Magnoliopsida; Malpighiales; Euphorbiaceae
Source: RNAcentral
GGGGAAGCUCGCACUUUGUUUGCAGCAAGGCAAGAACUUGUUACUAAAAUACAAAUGCUGACUCAGGAUCUUCAAAGGGCUCACGCUGAUGUGCUACAUAUUCCUCGUUUGCUGGCUGAGUUGGAGAGCCUAAAAAAGGAGUAUCAGCAGUGCCGGUAAUUCUCUGGUAACUCUCUUUUUUAUUGGGAUGAAAUGCAACUUAACAAGAAAGGGUCUUCUGACGUAAUUAGAGUAAUG